This 1192-nucleotide ribosomal RNA is filed under the name metagenome. Its description in RNAcentral is "SSU rRNA". It matches the Rfam family "Eukaryotic small subunit ribosomal RNA", at positions 573 to 1790 of the family's 1831-position model. The record is from RNAcentral.
GCCGCGGUAAUUCCAGCUCCAAUAGCGUAUAUUAAAGUUGUUGCAGUUAAAAAGCUCGUAGUUGGAUCUCAGGCACUAGCAUGUGGUACGCUUAACUGCUGUUACUACAUGUCUGGUCCUAAUCAAUCGGUUGGCCGUUGAUGCCCUUUAUUGGGUGUUUUCGGUAGCCGAUACGUUUACUUUGAGAAAAUUAGAGUGCUUAAAGCAGGCUAUACGCCUGAAUAAUGUUGCAUGGAAUAAUAGAAUAGGACCUCGGUUCUAUUUUGUUGGUUUUGUAGAGCAUUGAGGUAAUGAUUAAUAGGGACAGACGGGGGAAUUCGUAUUGCGGUGUUAGAGGUGAAAUUCUUGGGUCGCCGCAAGACGAACAACUGCGAAAGCAUUUGCCAAGAAUGUUUUCAUUAAUCAAGAACGAAAGUUGGAGGUUCGAAGACGAUUAGAUACCGUCCUAGUUCCAACCAUAAACGAUGCCAACUAGCGAUUAGCUGCUGUUAAUUAAACGACACAGCUAGCAGCUUCCGGGAAACCAAAGUUUUUGGGUUCCGGGGGAAGUAUGGUUGCAAAGCUGAAACUUAAAGGAAUUGACGGAAGGGCACCACCAGGAGUGGAGCCUGCGGCUUAAUUUGACUCAACACGGGAAAUCUCACCCGGCCCGGACACUGUAAGGAUUGACAGAUUGAGGGCUCUUUCUUGAUUCGGUGGGUGGUGGUGCAUGGCCGUUCUUAGUUGGUGGAGCGAUUUGUCUGGUUAAUUCCGAUAACGAACGAGACUCUAGCCUGCUAAAUAGUACGCCGAUCUCUAGUCGGCGCGUACUUCUUAGAGGGACAAGUAGCGGUUAGCUACACGAAAUUGAGCAAUAACAGGUCUGUGAUGCCCUUAGAUGUUCGGGGCCGCACGCGCGCUACACUGAAGGGAUAAGCGUGUUCUUCCUGUUCCGAAAGGAAUGGGUAAUCCGCUGAAACCCCUUCGUGAUUGGGAUCGGGGCUUGAGAUUAUUCUCCGUGAACGAGGAAUUCCUAGUAAGCGCGAGUCACUAGCUUGCGUUGAUUACGUCCCUGCCCUUUGUACACACCGCCCGUCGCUACUACCGAUUGAAUGGUUUAGUGAGAUCUUCGGAUUGGUCCGGAGGUGCCGCAAGGUUGCCUCUAGGUUCCGAGAAGAUGAUCAAACUUGAUCAUUUAGAGGAAGUAAAAGUC